CGAAAGUUAGUAAUAAUAAAGAAAGCUUUCGGACUUCUCUUCUUCCUCACUUUCCUCACUCUUACCUUAUAAAUAAAGCCAUGAAGAAGAUCCCAUGCCCCCUUGUGUUACGCUCAACCUGGUCUAUUGUCUGAAUAACAGAGCUCUCUCCCACUCUCUUGUCUUACAUAAAAAAGAAGUGUAUUUGUUCUGCUCUAUCUAUGGCAUAUAUCCCACCACACAUGCGGAAAAGCAAAGGGGUUCAGUCUCCGACAGCUGUGAUGCUAGUUCCUAGAUUCCAGAAGAAUCUUAAUCUCGGAUCAAAACCCAGCAUGGACAAGAGCGGCAAGAUUGUUUGUGCAGACACUGCGAUAUGGAGAUGGUUUGCUGUUGGCUUGGAUGGCAAUGAAACAGAGGGCCCACCUCCCGUUCUUCUUCAGCGAGUACCCGUGGAGGUGAUUGAACGGAUAAAUGGAGAGAAGCCUCUGGCGCUAGUUAGAAGUAGCCGUCUCAGUGAGGGGCAGAGGACUCUGGAUAGUUCAGACAAGCCAUGGACUUACCUUAUUGAAAAGAUCCUGCCGGACUUAAUUUCUUCUUCUAAAUUCAUGAGGGGCCAAAUGGAAGCAGAAGGCUGGAACUCGAAGGAAGUAAAGCCAAAACUUGUCGCGAGAGUUGGAAAAAUCCUUUUUAUCCCGAGGAGGCCUUCCAUUUUGGAGGAAGAUCUGAAUAAAGAUUCAAUCAAUGAAGCCACCUUGAAGCAGUUGAAGAGAACCUUCUACACCAAUAUCCCUGCUUCGUAUAUGAAGGGCAUUGUGGACGAAGUUGUUCCGAAGAUUGGAGUCAAAUUCGAAGAUCUAAAGGAUGUAUACCAUGUAAAGUUGUCCGACAAAUCUCGACCUGAAGCAACUAUCUCAUGCAAAUGCAGAGUCAUGAAAGAAGAGAAUCGGCUUGAACUCUAUAAGGUUGAGUUAAACCAAAUCCGCCACAUGGUGCAUGAUAUCUCGUGCAUUGAGAAAAAUCUCGACCUACGGCUCAUGCUCUCCACCAAGCGAACUCUAACAUCUCUUCGUGAUGAUGAGGAGAAGAGCAUCAAGGUUUUGAUUGCUUCGGCGAUAUUAGACCCGACUUCAAAGGGAGGUCUGAGAUGGCCAUUUGGUGAGGCCUCAUCCCCUGGGGAUAGAUACAGAGUCAUUGGCGUGUGGCAUACGGUUUCACGAGUUUAUGUGAGCCCUUCGAUGAGACUUAAGGUCCGAGAUGCAGAUCGGUUUGAUUUCAAGACAUCUGUCGGGGAGACCACGAGGGAGAUCACACUCAAGUUGAAGGGAAUCGUUUCAGAGUUACUGGGAAAGAAGCUCGAGAUCAAUUUGGUAGCUGAUAUGCUUGAGAACGUAUUGAAGCUGCUGUGGGAGCAUUUCUUGCAUUUCCAAGCAGUUCACAAUGGGAAUACUGCUGCUAUGGAUGUUCCCAUCUUCUCGUGAUUGCUCUCUGCUCUCGGCGUGUUAUGUUUCACAAGUACCUAAAGCUUUGCGAAAAGCCCAACUCUGAAUACUUGGGGAUACCGUAAUUUCCGGGGUCAUUUUUAAAGUUGUCCUGAACUGCAGGGGGCAAUCCGAAGUUGACCCUCAAAUAGGGCAUACAAAAGAUUGGACGAGGCUCCUGUUGCAUGGCUAGUCAGUCAGUGUAUUGACAAGGAAGCUACCACAUAGAGGAGGAACAUUUAGGCAAUUUCCACGGCUAACUCGAGCCCGACCACUGCGUGUGUGCUCUUGUCGAAAAAUAAUGGCGUUGGUCCUUUUAUUUUCUCUUUCAAUGGGAGAGGCUUGUGGGACUUAAUUGAGAAACUUUAAAGUUCGGGGACGCAAGUUAAAACGCACAGAUUGAUGGAUAGCAAAAAAGCUUGAAGUGCAUCUGUUACUCAGCAAUGGUUGGAAGUUCCGCAGAGAAAUUCAUGGUAAAACAAGUUUAACUGCAGUAUAGGAUAAGCGUCAUCCAAAACAUUUGCUCCCUUAUCUUAUUGUAAAGAUGGAUUCGUCUGAUUGGUGUGUGGAUUUUAAAUCCUUUUGAUCUUUGAUCUUUUCCCUUUGAUUUGUCUGUGGAAGAUGGUCACAUGAAUGAGGCUACUUCUGAGAAGCCGUGGGUGAGGAUUGCCAAGGCAGUUAUGCAGGACCUGCUCCCUUCUGCCGUCUUGGUGAGGACUGAAAUAGAGGAGAAUGUCCAACACCACGAUGAAAUAAAGUUGAAAUUCGUCGUGAGGGUUGGAAAAGUGCUUUUUCUCCCGUGAGCCGAUCAUGUCGUUACAUGCAAUGCAUUUGAAAGCACGUUUCGUGUUCCACUAUUUGGUUGACUUACCAGAACAUUAGUCGACACAAGUUUAUGAUACAAGUUGAAACAUUCAGGAGGAGAAACCCCCCAAGUAAAGACUCUGUCAGUGAAGCCUCUUCAAGUCAGUAUAAUAUAAACUUCCACACCGAUGUUCUGGCAUCGUAUGUGAAAAGUGUCACAGACAAUGUCGCCCUGAAAAUCGGAGUCAAAUCAGAAGAUAUAAAGGAUAUUUACCUCGCUAAGUUGGCUGAUAAAUCUCGAUCGGAUGUAACGGUCAUUUGCAAAUGCAGAGUUGUGAAGGAAGAAAAGCGACAUGAACUUUACCAGGCAACUUACUGUUCAUUCAAAUGGCUUUUGUUUUCGUUUUCAUUUUUCAUGAGAAAUGCAAGAAAAGUUCGUAAGUGUGGACUUGCAGUUCGGAGAUUUGUCUUCA
Non-coding RNA from Punica granatum (pomegranate), 2734 nucleotides. NCBI's taxonomy places the organism in Eukaryota, Viridiplantae, Streptophyta, Magnoliopsida, Myrtales, Lythraceae. The record is from RefSeq and is a predicted model, not a curated record.